Notechis scutatus (mainland tiger snake) is the source of this 622-nucleotide non-coding RNA. The record is from RefSeq and is a predicted model, not a curated record. Lineage: Eukaryota; Metazoa; Chordata; Lepidosauria; Squamata; Elapidae.
UUCAUGAUAAAGCACUUUGUAAAGUAUGCAUAUAUUUGGUCAAAUCAGAAUGAAAGUAUUUGUAAUGGCCAAGGUAUUGUGCUUAAAAAUAUUUAAGUGUUAACUAUACAUUACAUAUUUGUAAGCAUAUUGCCAAUAUUUAUGUGCCAUAAACAGGGUUUUGGAUUUCUCCUGGUUUUUGAAUCAAAUUCAGAGAAACUCUACAGAAUUACUUCCUUAUGCGUAGACUCCUUUUUUGCCAGUAUCAUAAAAUGUUGCUGAGCCCUAGAUUCUGUAUCAUUUGCUUUAUUUAAACUAUACCUGAAACUAAGUGUAAGCAAGUUCUGUGUAGCAUUAACUUCAAAAUUCUCAGUUUAAGAACAUACCAAAUCUAAUUUAUCCUUGUUCUACCCUUCUUGUUCCUUCAGGUUUCAGAUAUUUGUCUUACUCAACCUGAUCACACAGCUCUCUCUAGAUUUCCCAUGAAGAUUUAAUCCCAGCCUAAUGUCAAUAUUCUUUCUGUCAAUAUAGGAAGUUCUCGACUUAUAACAGUUCAUUUAGUGACCAAGCACUGAAAAAAGUGACUUAUGACCAUUUUUCACACUUACAACUAUUGCAGCAUCCCCACGUACUCUGUGUUGAU